RNAcentral lists this ribosomal RNA (488 nucleotides) under uncultured bacterium. Its description in RNAcentral is "partial 16S ribosomal RNA". It matches the Rfam family "Bacterial small subunit ribosomal RNA", at positions 30 to 505 of the family's 1533-position model. The record is from RNAcentral.
AUUGAACGCUGGCGGCAGGCCUAACACAUGCAAGUCGAACGGUAACAGGAAGAAGCUUGCUUCUUUGCUGACGAGUGGCGGACGGGUGAGUAAUGUCUGGGAAACUGCCUGAUGGAGGGGGAUAACUACUGGAAACGGUAGCUAAUACCGCAUAACGUCGCAAGACCAAAAAGGGGGGCCUUCGGGCCUCUUGCCAUCGGAUGUGCCCAGAUGGGAUUAGCUAGUAGGUGGGGUAACGGCUCACCUAGGCGACGAUCCCUAGCUGGUCUGAGAGGAUGACCAGCCACACUGGAACUGAGACACGGUCCAGACUCCUACGGGAGGCAGCAGUGGGGAAUAUUGCACAAUGGGCGCAAGCCUGAUGCAGCCAUGCCGCGUGAAUGAAGAAGGCCUUCGGGUUGUAAAGUACUUUCAGCGGGGAGGAAGGGAGUAAAGUUAAUACCUUUGCUCAUUGACGUUACCCGCAGAAGAAGCACCGGCUAACUCCG